AGAGUUUGAUCAUGGCUCAGGACGAACGCUGGCGGCGUUAACACAUGCAAGUCGAGCGAGAGCCAGUUGAGGGGUAACCCUCGGCUGGGGACAGCGGCGAACGGGUGCGUAACACGUGGGCAACCUGCCCCUGACACUGGGAUAACCCCGGGAAACCGGAGCUAAUACCGGAUACUCUCGGCCGAUCACAUGGCUGGCCGAGGAAAGGUCCGCCGGUCAGGGAUGGGCCCGCGGCCUAUCAGCUUGUUGGUGAGGUAACGGCCCACCAAGGCGACGACGGGUAGCUGGUCUGAGAGGACUACCAGCCACACUGGAACUGAGAUACGGUCCAGACUCCUACGGGAGGCAGCAGUGGGGAAUAUUGCACAAUGGGCGAAAGCCUGAUGCAGCGACGCCGCGUGAGGGAUGAAGGCCUUCGGGUCGUAAACCUCUUUCGGCAGGGACGAAGCGAUCAGUGACGGUACCUGCAGAAGAAGCCCCGGCUAACUACGUGCCAGCAGCCGCGGUAAGACGUAGGGGGGCGAGCGUUGUCCGGAUUCAUUGGGCGUAAAGCGCGCGUAGGCGGCUGCGCAAGUCGGUUGUGAAAUUCCGGGGCUCAACCCCGGAACUGCGUCCGAUACUGCGUGGCUAGAGGUAGGUAGGGGAGAUCGGAAUUCCUGGUGUAGCGGUGAAAUGCGCAGAUAUCAGGAGGAACACCGGUGGCGAAGGCGGAUCUCUGGGCCUUACCUGACGCUCAGGCGCGAAAGCUAGGGGAGCGAACAGGAUUAGAUACCCUAGUAGUCC
Molecule: ribosomal RNA, 783 nt
Filed under: uncultured bacterium
Lineage: Bacteria
Description: bacterial SSU rRNA
Rfam family: Bacterial small subunit ribosomal RNA
Source: RNAcentral